GGACGAACGCUGGCGGCGUGCUUAACACAUGCAAGUCGAGCGGUAAGGCCCUUCGGGGUACACGAGCGGCGAACGGGUGAGUAACACGUGGGUAACCUGCCCUGUACUCUGGGAUAAGCCUGGGAAACUAGGUCUAAUACCGGAUAUGACCUGCCUCCGCAUGGUGGUGGGUGGAAAGUUCCGGCGGUACGGGAUGGACCCGCGGCCUAUCAGCUUGUUGGUGGGGUAAUGGCCUACCAAGGCGACGACGGGUAGCCGGCCUGAGAGGGUGACCGGCCACACUGGGACUGAGACACGGCCCAGACUCCUACGGGAGGCAGCAGUGGGGAAUAUUGCACAAUGGGCGAAAGCCUGAUGCAGCGACGCCGCGUGAGGGAUGACGGCCUUCGGGUUGUAAACCUCUUUCAGCGGGGACGAA
RNAcentral lists this ribosomal RNA (418 nucleotides) under Saccharothrix sp. RNAcentral describes it as "bacterial SSU rRNA". It matches the Rfam family "Bacterial small subunit ribosomal RNA", at positions 27 to 449 of the family's 1533-position model. The record is from RNAcentral. Lineage: Bacteria; Bacillati; Actinomycetota; Actinomycetes; Pseudonocardiales; Pseudonocardiaceae.